Rhea pennata is the source of this 4919-nucleotide RNA transcript. It is a transcript of the gene named family with sequence similarity 110 member C, with no coding region annotated. NCBI's taxonomy places the organism in Eukaryota, Metazoa, Chordata, Aves, Rheiformes, Rheidae. The transcript is spliced from 3 exons. The record is from RefSeq and is a predicted model, not a curated record.
AUGCCCACGGAAAUCUGCCGAGCGGUGGGAAUGCACGCCAUCUCGGACCUGCGCUCCUCGCAGACGGUGCGGCUGCUCAGCAAGGGGCCGGAGUAUCUGCGGCGGCAGCUGGAGGCCGGCACCCCGGGCCGGAGGAGCGCCGUGGAGCGGCUGGCGGCCGAUAAGGCCAAGUACGUGAAAAGCCAGCAGGUAACGAGCAGCAAGCAGGAGCCCGCGAGGGUGCCCGGCUCCGCGUCGGAGAGCAGCGGCGAGAGCUGCUCGGCGGAGCGCGAGGCGGCGGGCCGGGCGCGCGGCGGCGGCGGGCCGGGCCCCCCGGGGCCGGAGGCGGCCGGCGGGGCGGCGUGCACCCGCCGGGCCCCGCCACCGCCGCCGCGCGGGCCCCCCGCCGCCCGCCGCAGCCACCCCCGGAGGCAGCUGCGGCCCGACUCCCUGGUCAUCUACCGCCAGAAGUGCGAGUUCGUGCGCGGCCAGGGCCAGGGCGGCCCGCGGGGCAGCGUGGUGCGGAGGCUGCUCCACGGGCCCCCAAAGGAGAAGCCCAGCGUGAUCAUGGAGGCGGCCAGCGGCGCGGAGAGCAGGGAGCCCGGCUGCGACGACCACGAGCCGAGCGAGCCCGGCGAGCGCCCACGGGAGCGCGAGAGACCCCCGGAGCUGCCGCCCGCUCCUGCGGAGGCCCGGGAGGUGAGGCGGGGCGGCCUCCACCGCUCCCGCUCGGACAUCAGCUCUCGCUACUCCAAGUCCUUCUCCGAGUUCGACACCUUCUUCAAGUACUGCGGCCUCGACGCGGAGGUCAUCGAGGACCUCGGCCGGGAGAACUUCUCCGCCGUUUCCGACGGCGUCUCCUUCAAGGUGCGCAGCGUCAGCGUGGCGACGUCCGAAAGCGACUUCACGAGGCACAGCGGGGACGACGGCCUGCUGGAGGACGAGCUGGCCGAGCAGGUGCCCAGCAGCACCUCCGUCGUCGAGCGCAACGCCCGCAUAAUCAAGUGGCUCUACACCUGCAAGAAAGCCAAGGAGGCCCACGCGGCGCGCCGGGAGCUGGCCUGACGGCGCUGCGGCCGGGGCGCUCAAGUGCUACACUUUCUUUGACAAUGGGCCAUCAGGAUCCCUGUCUUGGAAGAUGAACAACAGCAAACACAGGAAGGAACUUUUCCUCUUCUGGCUCAUGACUACUUUGUCCAAGUUUAGCAUUUUCUUAUUGCCUCAUUCCCUCUCCCCUGUCCCCAGGCAGCCUCACUCUUUGCCACAAACACAGGGAUGUUCAAGAGCACAACAAGAAGAAGUAGAGGUUGGGAACUGUGCCACAGCGGAGAGCAGGAAGUGAAAGUUCCCAGAAAAGCAAAGCAUGGUUGCUAUCUACAACAGACCUUAACAUUCAGCAGCAGAUCACCACCCCCGGAUGCCAUGCGGGGAUAUGACAGAAGGUUUGCGUUGCACACCCAUCUCUUUGCAGCGAUGCAUGUGUCAGCAGUGAUGGGAGGAGAAAGUGGGAAUGAGAUGGCAAUGACCCCUGGGUCAGGCGUUCCUUGCAGGCAGACAGGCUCCACCCGGCCAUUCAAAGGCACUGUCUUUCUAGGGCUGUUUAAACAUGGCUCAGCCUGACAUCAUUAGACACUAUUUGCCUGGCUGGUGAGGGCUAAUAUGGCAGCUUUAUCUGGGAUACUUAGUAAAUAUGCUGUAAGCUAAAACCCUGCCAAGCCUCUGUUUCUUCAAGAGUGUCCAAACCAAGUUAGAAUACCUUGUAUCCAUCUAGUCUGCUCAGUAGCUUGCUCAGCCAGCUUUUUAAUUCAGAUGCUGAAUUAAAAACUUUGCCUAAAGUUUGUUCAGGAGCACAAUUCUAAGAAACAGGUAGUCCAAAAUCAGAGAUGAUUUUGUGUGGAUAUUACAUUGCUCCAAAAUAGUGGAAUUUACAUUUACACAGACUCCUUGACUUGGUUUGCAACAUGUCUCUGAUGCUGCCAGAGUGGGUUGUAUUUCAGCAUUUGGAAGCCUUCGAUUUAACAUCUUUAAUUUUUUGCAGCGCAAGUAAAGGGCUUAUAGAAUCACAUUAGCAAAUUACAUCCCAGGCAUGGGAUGUAGCAUGGGUCUGGAGUAGCACUGUGCAGGAAGGCAUACUAGGACACAGGCAAAACCAUGCCAGAAAAAAGUUGGGAUGGGGUAAGACCCCAAGUAUAGAUAGCAACUUACUCAAUAUCAUCACUAAAGUAGUAAUACUUCAUUUGAAAUGGACAAGCUAAAUAUAUUUUUAAAAUUGACUAGAAGUACUUUGUAUCAUCACUGUAGUGAAUGGAUCCUUUGCAGAUCACAGAAUUUGCUGGCUAUGCCUUAGAUAUUUACCUCAGUCAGUCAUUACUUACUAAAAACUGCCUUACACCAAAGUGUUUAUUUGCAAAUAUUAUAAACUACCAAAAGAAAUCAAACAGAAAGCCAGAUCUGUGAUGGCUGCCCUGAAGUCAAAGGAGCAACAACUAGAACUUAGAGUGCUGCAGAGGUGAAAAGUUUACUUUGUGUUACCAUGGAUAUAGUGUCCUGUUUGCAGCACUGGACUUUACCUGGCUGUCAGACCUGUACUGUAACGAGUCCAGAAAAAUGAGAUUUCAUUCUCCACAUUCCAGUAGGGUUAUACAUAGCCAGCGCUAAGCUAACAGUGCUUGCCGUGUUCUGACCCAUAACAGCUGCCAGCACAUCAGGGUGGAAGCAUAAAUAAAUUAACCACUUGAGGUGCAUUUAUAAGUGUUUGUUAGUCUUGGUGAAUAAGUCUGUGCAAGUGAGAAGGGCAGGAGUGAACCAAAACAAUUGUGUAAAGCAUUAAUUGUAGGAAGAACAGUUUUCUAUUUUAAAUUCUACAAACUCCAUGCGCUGACAGACUUGCCCUUUAAGUGCUUAUCACAUGUUUCAGUUGAUAUCAGUGAAAUUCACAGCAAGGUUGCCUGGUUGAAUUUACAUCUGUCUUCAAUGUGCUUUUCAGUCACUGGAUAGUUAUUUCUCAAUUACAGUAACUGUUUGAGAAUGCAGGGCAUUUGUCUUUAUUGUUUUAGUGUUAUAUGCUAAGGUCUACAUGUCUGAAGUUGUCUAGAUAGAUAGAUAGAUAACACUUCCAGAUAAAAUAAUUGUUGAGCCUGCUUUACACUUAGCAGAAAACUAAGCAGUUUGCAUUAUUGAGCUUCUGCAGACUUAGAGGGAAGCUAGUACAUGGGGAUAUUUUUGUUAAAUAAUUAAAUUUUGUGUGUAUUUGUUACAUUUUUAUUAAAGAAUGAUUCUUGGAAAACUACAUCUCAGGAUGCUGCUAAUAGGAUAAGAUUUAUGCACUGAAGGUGCAGUUUUUAAGGAACACAAUCUACAUUUAUUAGUCAGGAACAUAACCUGGUAUAUCUGUACUUCUCAUGCUUAUUUUGUAAGGUACUGUACCAUAUAAUUAUUUAAAUGCUUUUGUCAAAAGCUAAUGACUUCUUUUCCUUGAAAAUACAUAUUAAUGCCUGUAGACAGCUUGGAGUUCAGGAAAAAUCUUUUGCCUUACAAAUCAGUGCUUCACCACAAUAGAAGAGAAUUGUUUUGCUUUGUUUCCAGAGAAAGAUUUUUAGUUUAAUUUUCAAACUUAUAUUUGUUUAUUGUUUUUUUUCUAUCAGAAGUUCUAGAAAGUUAAGAUGAUUCUGCCAGGAAGAAAUGGGAGGAUGCAUUGGUAGUGGAUUUUAAAUGGUAGGAAGGAAGGUAUUUAAUUUGUCUGAAAAUACAGAUCAUCAGCCUUGUUCAAAAUCAGGGAAGAUUUUUUGAUAGAUAUUAGUGAAAUCAGAAUUGGCCUGUUUCUGAUUUCUUUUAAUCCCACUUUCUAACUUUAUGCACUAUUUAACAGUGCUGUGGUGAUUUUUCACACUGAUAGUAGCAAAAUUUAACUGUCUUUGUUCAAACUUUCAUAGGAACCCUAAACUCUCCAUGGCAUUAUUUACUUCAGAGAAGAUUUGGACUUCUCUGAGAUCUUUCCCUGAUAAGCUAUACAUUCUCUUUCUUUAAAAAUCUGCUGGAUAGGCUAAUAGCCUACCUUUCCUAGUAUACCAGGAAGACAGUAGCUGACAAUCCUUCUUUCUCCAUAAAUCUUGGGAAUUGAUAUCUUCAGUUCUUAUUCCACAGCAGUAGGAGCACUAUUCUUCCUCAGGUCCUGUUACUGUUACAUGCUUUUCUUUCCUUUUUGGGGUGUUUCAGUCAUAUCCCUCAAAAUGAGAAAAAAUGUUAAUUUUAUCCAUUUUCUAUCAAUUACCAUAUUUUUUCUUCUGUUUAAUUAUAAAAGACGUGUGAUUUGGAAGAGGAUUUCUUUCUGUAAAGUGGGCUGUUGUGGAAUGAGCAAAAGCUUUGCUGAUCGAGUUAGGAUUAGUCUUCUUGAAAACCUAAAAUCAGGGCUGAGGGUGAAGACAAGUCAUAAACUGAACAGUUUUGUUUAACCAGAGCUGUGUAAACUUAAAUAGUCAAAUGUGAGUGCAAGUGUGCAGUGCUAACAUCUAUUUAUACCCCAGUGUUUCAAAAUGCACUAUUACUGUGACAAGGGGCAAGGUCCGUGGCUAUAGCACAACAGGUGAAAGAUAGUCUGUUUUUUAUGGCCUAGAAGCUACUAUUUGCAGUAAAGGCAUUGGAUGGAGUCUGUAAUUCUUGUAAUAUAGUGUAAAUAUUAAUAUACAGGACUCUCUAAGUAACAGGUACAGAUUAUUUUAUAAAAUGUGUAUUAAUGUUUCAAGGCAUAUAAGUCCUCAUGCUUUGUGAAAUCAGCUGAGCAUCAUAUUGAUGGGGAUUAAGGAGAAGCUUUCUCCUGGGAGCAGGUCAUCCUGUGUUGCCUGCUGUAAGGUUUUUUUCAUCCUUUUUUGAAUGCUGUGAAGUCAAGUACUGGUCAGAUCUAGUAUGGAAGUUUCUAAGUUGCUAUGUUUAUUUUCAUACAA